This is a non-coding RNA of Acanthosepion pharaonis, 113 nucleotides long. Lineage: Eukaryota; Metazoa; Mollusca; Cephalopoda; Sepiida; Sepiidae. The record is from the annotation of a GenBank genome assembly.
UACGGCCACAUUACAUUGAAAUACCUGUUCCCGUAUAACUACCGAAGUUAAGCAACGUCGAACCUGAUCAGUGCCUAGAUAGGUGACCGCUUGGGAAAACCAGGUGCUGUAAG